RNAcentral lists this unclassified non-coding RNA (343 nucleotides) under soil metagenome. Its description in RNAcentral is "partial contains 5.8S ribosomal RNA, internal transcribed spacer 2, and large subunit ribosomal RNA". The stretch from base 1 to 120 matches the Rfam family "5.8S ribosomal RNA", at positions 35 to 154 of the family's 154-position model. The record is from RNAcentral.
GAUGAAGAACGUAGCGAAAUGCGAUAAGUAAUGUGAAUUGCAGAAUUCAGUGAAUCAUCGAAUCUUUGAACGCUCAUUGCGCCGGCCAGCAUUCUGGCGGGCAUGCCUGUUCGAGCGUCAUUUCAACCCUCGAGCCCCCCCGGGGGCCUCGGUGUUGGGGGACGGCACACCAGCCGCCCCCGAAAUGCAGUGGCGACCCCGCCGCAGCCUCCCCUGCGUAGUAGCACACACCUCGCACCGGAGCGCGGAGGCGGUCACGCCGUAAAACGCCCAACUUUCUUAGAGUUGACCUCGGAUCAGGUAGGAAUACCCGCUGAACUUAAGCAUAUCAAUAAGCGGAGGA